UACGGGGGGGGGCAAGCGUUGUUCGGAAUUACUGGGCGUAAAGGGCUCGUAGGCGGCCAACUAAGUCAGACGUGAAAAUCCCUCAGCUUAACUGGGGAACUGCGUCUGAUACUGGAUGGGCUAGAGUGUGGGAGAGGGAUGCGGAAUUCCAGGUGUAGCGGUGAAAUGCGUAGAUAUCUGGAGGAACACCGGUGGCGAAGGCGGCAUCCUGGACCACGACUGACGGCUGAGUGAGCGAAAGCCAGGGGAGCAAACGGG
RNAcentral lists this ribosomal RNA (258 nucleotides) under uncultured bacterium. RNAcentral describes it as "partial 16S ribosomal RNA". It matches the Rfam family "Bacterial small subunit ribosomal RNA", at positions 524 to 776 of the family's 1533-position model. The record is from RNAcentral.